GGGUGCGAUCAUACCAGCACUAAUGCACCGGAUCCCAUCAGAACUCCGCAGUUAAGCGUGCUUGGGCGAGAGUAGUACUAGGAUGGGUGACCCCCUGGGAAGUCCUCGUGUUGCACCCC
Molecule: ribosomal RNA, 119 nt
Organism: Rhizophagus irregularis DAOM 197198w
Lineage: Eukaryota; Fungi; Glomeromycota; Glomeromycetes; Glomerales; Glomeraceae
Source: Rfam